CGGUAACAUAAGUGCUUGCACUUGAUGACGACCGGCGCACGGGUGCGUAACGCGUAUAGAAUCUACCUUUUGCUGAGGAAUAGCCCAGAGAAAUUUGGAUUAAUGCCUCAUAGUAUGUUUUUAUCACAUGAUGAUUACAUUAAAGGUUACGGCAAAAGAUGACUAUGCGUCCUAUUAGCUAGAUGGUAAGGUAACGGCUUACCAUGGCAACGAUAGGUAGGGGCCCUGAGAGGGGGAUCCCCCACACUGGUACUGAGACACGGACCAGACUCCUACGGGAGGCAGCAGUGAGGAAUAUUGGACAAUGGAGGGAACUCUGAUCCAGCCAUGCCGCGUGCAGGAAGACUGCCCUAUGGGUUGUAAACUGCUUUUAUACAGGAAGAAACCGCGCUACGUGUAGCGCUCUGACGGUACUGUAAGAAUAAGGAUCGGCUAACUCCGUGCCAGCAGCCGCGGUAAUACGGAGGAUCCAAGCGUUAUCCGGAAUCAUUGGGUUUAAAGGGUCCGUAGGUGGAUGAUUAAGUCAGAGGUGAAAGUUUGCAGCUCAACUGUAAAAUUGCCUUUGAUACUGGNUAUCUUGAA
Molecule: ribosomal RNA, 582 nt
Filed under: Algibacter mikhailovii
Lineage: Bacteria; Pseudomonadati; Bacteroidota; Flavobacteriia; Flavobacteriales; Flavobacteriaceae
Description: bacterial SSU rRNA
Rfam family: Bacterial small subunit ribosomal RNA
Source: RNAcentral